This 29-nucleotide small RNA is filed under the name Bombyx mori (domestic silkworm). RNAcentral's name for it is "ovarian small RNA-7105". The record is from RNAcentral. Lineage: Eukaryota; Metazoa; Arthropoda; Insecta; Lepidoptera; Bombycidae.
UCAUUAGUAAGCCACGGCGCUGGCAAAUG